AAUAAGCGGAGGAAAAGAAACCAACAGGGAUUGCCCUAGUAACGGCGAGUGAAGCGGCAACAGCUCAAAUUUGAAAUCUGGCGUCUUUGGCGUCCGAGUUGUAAUUUGCAGAGGGCGCUUUGGCAUUGGCAGCGGUCCAAGUUCCUUGGAACAGGACGUCACAGAGGGUGAGAAUCCCGUACGUGGUCGCUAGCCUUUACCGUGUAAAGCCCCUUCGACGAGUCGAGUUGUUUGGGAAUGCAGCUCUAAAUGGGAGGUAAAUUUCUUCUAAAGCUAAAUACUGGCCAGAGACCGAUAGCGCACAAGUAGAGUGAUCGAAAGAUGAAAAGCACUUUGGAAAGAGAGUUAAAAAGCACGUGAAAUUGUUGAAAGGGAAGCGCUUGCAGCCAGACUUGCCUGUAGUUGCUCAUCCGGGUUUCUACCCGGUGCACUCUUCUAUAGGCAGGCCAGCAUCAGUUUGGGCGGUUGGAUAAAGGUCUCUGUCAUGUACCUCUCUUCGGGGAGAACUUAUAGGGGAGACGACAUGCAACCAGCCUGGACUGAGGUCCGCGCAUCUGCUAGGAUGCUGGCGUAAUGGCUGUAAGCGGCCCGUCUUGAAACACGGACCAAGGAGUCUAACAUCUAUGCGAGUGUUUGGGUGUCAAGCCCGAACGCGUAAUGAAAGUGAACGGAGGUGGGAACCUUUCGGGGUGCACCAUCGACCGAUCCUGAUGUCUUCGGAUGGAUUUGAGUAAGAGCAUAGCUGUUGGGACCCGAAAGAUGGUGAACUAUGCUUGAAUAGGGUGAAGCCAGAGGAAACUCUGGUGGAGGCUCGCAGCGGUUCUGACGUGCAAAUCGAUCGUCAAAUUUGGGCAUAGGGGCGAAAGACUAAUCGAACUAUCUAGUAGCUGGUUCCUGCCGAA
This 902-nucleotide ribosomal RNA is filed under the name Ascochyta rabiei. Its description in RNAcentral is "LSU rRNA". It matches the Rfam family "Eukaryotic large subunit ribosomal RNA", at positions 45 to 965 of the family's 3401-position model. Lineage: Eukaryota; Fungi; Ascomycota; Dothideomycetes; Pleosporales; Didymellaceae. The record is from RNAcentral.